CGUUCCCCAAUCCACAACCAACCCAUCCCCGUUUUUCAACUGGUUGUUCAGUACAUAUCAAUUGAACGUCAAAACGUACUGAACGCAGACUAGGGAAAGCCGUGAUAGCACGACAAACCAAUCAUUAUGGGGCUAAUGCACGCCUCUUUAGCUUAGCUCGGCCAAUCAGAGUGUGUGAUUCUGAAGGGAGUGCACCAUCCCCCACUAAACCGCCCUGCCAAGCUGUAGUUUAGGAAGUUAAUGACGUCUCUGCAUUUGCAGGCCGCCGACGCAGGGUUGGGUUUCUAUUUUCACAGCCGGGAUUCGGGGGGAACAACAACAUGGAGCCGGAGAUGGAGGACAACACGUUGGAAUUAAUGAGCUCUGUGCCUCGCUCUCUCUGGCUGGGCUGCUCCUCGGUGGCAGAGAGUUUGUGUGCACUCAGGUGCCUGCAGAGCAUCCCCUCUACCCGGGCUCACAACCAGAACACGUCAGUCAUGGAGUCCCAGAACCACGUAGACGACCUCUCCCCAAAGAAAACCACAAUUCUCACCAAGCUUAGUAAUGGUCCUGUAAUGACAGGCUCUCGUAAGCGUCCGUCAGAGGGGAACUGUGACAAGGAGAAGGAGCAGUGCAUCGCCCUGUUUGACCAGUGGUCUGAGACUGACCAGGUGGAGUUUGUAGAACACCUCAUCUCCCAUAUGUGCCACUACCAACACGGCCACAUCAACUCCUACCUCAAACCCAUGCUUCAACGUGACUUCAUCACAGCACUGCCAGCCCAGGGUCUGGACCACAUAGCAGAGAACAUCCUGUCGUUCCUGGACGCACAGUCUCUGUGCUCCGCGGAGCUGGUGUGUAAGGAGUGGCAGAGGGUGAUCUCAGAGGGCAUGCUCUGGAAGAAACUCAUAGAACGCAUGGUCCGCACAGACCCCCUCUGGAAAGGCCUGUCAGAGAGGCACCAGUGGGAGAAGUAUCUGUUCAAGAACCGAACGACAGAAGUCCCGCCCAACUCCUACUACCACUCCCUCUACCCCAAGAUCAUCCAGGACAUAGAGACUAUCGAGGCUAACUGGCGGUGUGGCAGACACAACCUGCAGAGGAUCCAGUGUCGGUCAGAGAACAGUAAAGGAGUCUAUUGCCUCCAGUACGACGACGAUAAGAUCAUCAGUGGCCUUAGAGACAACUCCAUAAAGAUCUGGGACAAGCAGUCUCUGGAGUGUCUGAAGAUCCUGACAGGUCAUACAGGCUCUGUGCUCUGUCUGCAGUAUGAUGAGAGAGUCAUUGUCACUGGCUCCUCUGACUCCACUGUCAGGGUGUGGGACGUGACGUCAGGUGAAGUACUGAACACUCUGAUCCAUCACAACGAGGCGGUGCUCCACCUGCGCUUCUGCAACGGUCUGAUGGUGACGUGUUCCAAGGACCGCUCCAUCGCCGUGUGGGACAUGGCCUCGCCCACCGACAUCAGCCUCCGGCGCGUCCUCGUGGGGCACCGAGCCGCCGUCAACGUGGUCGACUUCGACGACAAAUACAUUGUGUCGGCGUCUGGAGACCGCACCAUUAAGGUGUGGAGCACCAGUACGUGUGAGUUUGUGCGCACUCUAAACGGACACAAGCGAGGCAUCGCCUGCCUUCAGUACAGAGACAGACUAGUGGUCAGCGGCUCCUCAGACAACACCAUACGGUUAUGGGAUAUUGAGUGUGGAGCGUGUUUGCGGGUGUUGGAGGGUCAUGAGGAACUGGUCCGCUGCAUUCGCUUCGACAACAAGAGGAUCGUCAGUGGUGCCUAUGACGGUAAGAUCAAGGUGUGGGAUCUGCAAGCUGCUCUGGAUCCACGAGCCCCAGCCAGCACCUUGUGCUUGCGCACACUGGUGGUGAGUUUCUGUGUGUGUGUCUCUGUCAAGGUGUUUGAGGUGAUUGUCAUGGUAAUAUAUGCGUCUGUUUUCAGGAGCACUCGGGACGUGUGUUCCGGCUGCAGUUUGACGAGUUCCAGAUCAUCAGCAGUUCCCAUGACGACACCAUCCUCAUCUGGGACUUCUUGAAUGUGUCGACCAAUGGCCAGUCAGAGGGCCGGUCCCCCUCACGGACCUACACCUACAUCUCCAGAUAGCAGGUGGCGCCAUCCACUGCAGCAAGUCCUGGAGGAGCUGAUAUCUGAUUGGCUGAUGGAGUGUGUGUUGCAGAGGUGCUCAACUCGUCUUCUUCCUCAUCCUUUUGUCAGUACCCGUUUUCUGACAAGGACUCUCCCACCACACCCCUGAAACACACACACAUCUGCACGUUCAUGUUCCAUCACUGGCUUAUGUUCCCCAAUCUACAGUAACCCACCAACAGUGGACUAGACAUAUCUUACUCCUUACAUUAGUAAAUCCCUUCAGAAGUCCUACCUUAAGCUCUAGUUCUUCAGUUCCCAACCCUGCCUAGACAUCCACGGAUGGAUAGAGAAUGACCUUGGCGCUGCAGAGUGGGAGAGAGAGACUCUUGAACUCAGCUCUGAGAGAAGGUGGAUGAGAGAUUGAGUGAGUAAAGCAGGGAGGGAGGAAUAAAGACCCCUCUCACUCCAUCUCUCCUGCUUCUUUUGCUUCUUCUGUCUGGAGUGAACACUUGUUUGGGACACACUCAAGUGUUUGUGUGCGCGUGUGUAUGGUGUGUGUGUGUGGAGACUUGGGAAAUGCGGUGAAGAGACUGGGCUUGUUGCCGUGGUUGCUGAGGAUACAGCGUCCUGGCAACACCUUUUUUUGUUUUUUCUUUUUGACUCUUACAUUCUUACUGUUUUUUUUAUUAUUUUGUAAUUUUAUUUGACAACAUUUUGUUCUUAUUAAAAUCAUACUAAGCAUUGUAGUUCUCUCUCUGUCAUUCACUGUUCUAUUGUCACAUUUCCUUUCCAUCUCUCUGAUCCUCUGGGCUCAGUUUAGCUGUAAACUGAGUUGUCUUGUCAAAAAAUGUGUAUAUUAAAAUGAUUUUUUUUUAAAAGAAAUGACAUUGUGAAUAAAGUACUUGGCAGUGGUGGUGCGUUGA
Non-coding RNA from Oncorhynchus mykiss (rainbow trout), 2997 nucleotides. The record is from RefSeq and is a predicted model, not a curated record. NCBI's taxonomy places the organism in Eukaryota, Metazoa, Chordata, Actinopteri, Salmoniformes, Salmonidae.